This 71-nucleotide transfer RNA is filed under the name Rhodococcus sp. AG1013. RNAcentral describes it as "tRNA-Cys". It matches the Rfam family "tRNA". From Rfam's summary of the family: Transfer RNA (tRNA) molecules are approximately 80 nucleotides in length. Their secondary structure includes four short double-helical elements and three loops (D, anti-codon, and T loops). Lineage: Bacteria; Bacillati; Actinomycetota; Actinomycetes; Mycobacteriales; Nocardiaceae. The record is from RNAcentral.
GGUGGGGUGGCCGAAUGGCCAGGUAGCGGUGCACAACACCGCGCAUGCAGGUUCGAAUCCUGCACCCACCU